UGAGAAUGAUCAGGCUGUGACAUCUGUCACCCCAUUGACUGCCACGGUUGAUUCAGCUGAUCUGGCUAGGUAGUGGGUGUCCCCCUCCUCCCUCA
Molecule: small nuclear RNA, 95 nt
Filed under: Cavia porcellus (domestic guinea pig)
Lineage: Eukaryota; Metazoa; Chordata; Mammalia; Rodentia; Caviidae
Description: 7SK RNA
Rfam family: 7SK RNA
About the family: 7SK was discovered as an abundant small nuclear RNA in the mid-70s but a possible function has only recently been suggested. Two independent studies have found that 7SK RNA binds the CDK9/cyclin T complex (known as elongation factor P-TEFb). P-TEFb activates transcription by phosphorylating the C-terminal domain of RNA polymerase II.
Source: Rfam by way of RNAcentral